GACAGAGGUGCCAAGCGUUAGGCGGAAUCACUGGGCUUAAAGCGUGUGUAGGCGGAUCGUUAAGUGCUUUGUGAAAUCCCACAGCUCAACUGUGGAACUGCUUGGCAUACUGGCGAUCUUGAGCCAUCUAGGGGUUGCUGGAACAAACGGUGGAGCGGUGAAAUGCGUAGAUAUCGUUUGGAACGCCAAUGGUGAAAACAGGCAACUGGGGAUGUGCUGACGCUGAGACACGAAAGCCAGGGGAGCAAACGGG
This 253-nucleotide ribosomal RNA is filed under the name uncultured bacterium. RNAcentral's name for it is "partial 16S ribosomal RNA". It matches the Rfam family "Bacterial small subunit ribosomal RNA", at positions 524 to 776 of the family's 1533-position model. The record is from RNAcentral.